UAGUAGACCUUACUUAAACAUGAUCUUUAGGGUUUGUAAUUGUAAUGACCUUACGGUCAUUUUCCUAUAUUUUCAUAUAAUUUUAGUACUAUCUAAAUGUAUCGUGAAUUAUUUAAUUUAAUUUGACAUUGGUAGAAAUAUAAUUUAGUACCCUUCUAGAAUAUUUUCGAUAUUGCUAAAAUUCUUUAAGUGAUGAUAUAUUUAUAUUACUUUAUAAUUGACUUUUAUGAUUUAUUAAUAUUUUAAGCGGAGAUAGUAAUUUUAGAAAUAUUAAAAUAUUCUCUCGAAUGCUACGAAGUGUGCUAUCCUCGAACUGACGACUCCAAAUCUGCUCCAAUAAGGAAAUCUUGCCACAAACCCAGCUAUAUCUCUCCCCAUACCACUCCACUAGUAAUGCUGCUUCAAAUCCCUAUACAUCUUAGCUAUUUCGGGAUGAAUAGAGUAUCUGGAGCUAUGAGCCAGGAUAUAAAAUUGGGUGGAGCCUGGGUUGUCCCCUGGACUACCUGGUGAUGUGGCGUCACCGUCCAGUUGAGGAGGCUACCUAGGAAAUCGAGCAUGAUAUGCGCGUCCAGUACCCAAACCUGUUUGAGCCUUCAGAUCCGGGUACUAGCAGUUGACGUUGACGUAAUUCCUACCUUCGAGUACUGAUUCAGAGCAGAGGGAGUUUGCUGUCGUCUGAGGCUGAUCCUCUUUUAUCUAUUUUAGUUUGCCUUUUGCACUUGAGACUGUUUGUGUAUAUUAUGUACAUUUUAGAUUUUUGUCUAGUCUCUGGGUACCUGUUAGUAGUGGCUUUAGUACUGACCUUAUCAGGUCUUGAGAGGGAUUUAUUUGUAUAGUUGGUCCUUUUUCCUUCUCCCGUUUGGAUAUAAUAUAUAUGCUCUCUUCUUGAUUUUCACUUA
Molecule: long non-coding RNA, 899 nt
Organism: Capsicum annuum
Lineage: Eukaryota; Viridiplantae; Streptophyta; Magnoliopsida; Solanales; Solanaceae
Exons: 2
Source: RefSeq, a predicted model, not a curated record